RNAcentral lists this long non-coding RNA (286 nucleotides) under Gossypium barbadense (sea-island cotton). RNAcentral describes it as "long non-coding RNA (GBAR_LNC014978)". The record is from RNAcentral. Lineage: Eukaryota; Viridiplantae; Streptophyta; Magnoliopsida; Malvales; Malvaceae.
UAUUUUAGGGUGGUUACUUUAUGCUAAAUUCAAAGCUCUUGUUGGUGAGAAUUAGAAUAAUGAGGUGGAGGUGAGAAUGGAUUGGAGAAAUUUGAAGAGAUAGUUAUUGAUUGGAACAAAAGGGUAUAUAGAAAUAUUUUUGUGCGCAAAUGACAUUUAAUCUUCGAGUUAGCUCUUGUGCAAAAAAAUUCAGACUUAAGGCCCUUUUUGAAACUACGCAAGCGAGAGUUGGAAUUACGUCAAGAGAUAGAGGAGGUUCUUAAGCAUAAGGAACUAUUAUGGUUCC